This 77-nucleotide signal recognition particle RNA is filed under the name Treponema sp. RNAcentral's name for it is "partial signal recognition particle sRNA small type". It matches the Rfam family "Bacterial small signal recognition particle RNA", at positions 1 to 76 of the family's 97-position model. From Rfam's summary of the family: The signal recognition particle (SRP) is a universally conserved ribonucleoprotein involved in the co-translational targeting of proteins to membranes. Archaeal SRP consists of a 7S RNA and homologues of the eukaryotic SRP19 and SRP54 proteins. In most bacteria, the SRP consists of a 4.5S RNA and the Ffh protein (a homologue of the eukaryotic SRP54 protein). The record is from RNAcentral. Lineage: Bacteria; Pseudomonadati; Spirochaetota; Spirochaetia; Treponematales; Treponemataceae.
GCCCAGGAACCGUGCGGGCAGGCGCCGCCCAACCCCGCCAGGUUCGGAAGGAAGCAACGGUAAGCGGAUACCUGUUG